Molecule: non-coding RNA, 74 nt
Organism: Podarcis lilfordi (Lilford's wall lizard)
Lineage: Eukaryota; Metazoa; Chordata; Lepidosauria; Squamata; Lacertidae
Source: the annotation of a GenBank genome assembly
GGCUAUAGCUCAGUGGUUAGAGCAGCAGCUGCCUUGCCUGCGGAAGGUCCCAGCUCCAAUCCCUGGCAUCUCCA